AUUGAACGCUGGCGGCAGGCCUAACACAUGCAAGUCGAACGGUAACAGGAAGAAGCUUGCUGCUUUGCUGACGCGUGGCGGACGGGUGUGUAAUGUACGUCAAGCUGUCUGAUGGCGGGGGAUAACUAGUGGGAACGGUAGCUAAUAUAGCAUAAUGUCGCAAGGGCAGAGAGGGGGACCUUCGGGCCUCUUGCCCUCGGAAGUGCCCAGAUGGGAUUAGCUAGUAGGCGGGGUAAAGGCUCACCCAGGCGACGAUCCCUAGCUGGUCUGAGAGGAUGAUCAGCCACACUGGAACUGAGACACGGUCCAGACUCCUACGGGAGGCAGCAGUGGGGAAUAUUGGACAAUGGGCGCAAGCCUGAUCCAGCCAUGCCGCGUGGAUGAAGAAGGCCUUCGGGUUGUAAAGUACUUUCGGCGGGGAAGAAAAGAGUAAAGUUAAUACCUCGGCUCAUUGACGGUACCCGCAGAAGAAGCACCGGCUAACUCCGUG
This 490-nucleotide ribosomal RNA is filed under the name uncultured bacterium. Its description in RNAcentral is "partial 16S ribosomal RNA". It matches the Rfam family "Bacterial small subunit ribosomal RNA", at positions 30 to 507 of the family's 1533-position model. The record is from RNAcentral.